RNAcentral lists this ribosomal RNA (463 nucleotides) under uncultured bacterium. RNAcentral describes it as "partial 16S ribosomal RNA". It matches the Rfam family "Bacterial small subunit ribosomal RNA", at positions 28 to 507 of the family's 1533-position model. The record is from RNAcentral.
GAUGAACGCUGCCAGAAUGCUUAACACAUGCGAGUCUUUGGCGAAUCUGUGCUUGCACCGGCUAGCCAAGUCGGACGGGUGAGUAACGUGUAAAGAACUUGCCCUGCAGACAGGGAUAACAGACGGAAACGACUGAUAACACAUGAUACAGUAGCCGGCACGCAUGUGCCUUGCAAUGAAAAGAGAUGCUGCCGCGGAGGCUUGUGUCCUAUUAGCUUGUUGGUGAGGUGACGGCUCACCAAGGCGAUGAGAGGUAACCGGUCUGCAAAGGGGAACGGCCAAAGGUGCACUGGGAGGCAGCGCUUACGCCUGAGGGAGGAAGCAGUGAGGAAUAAUGAACAAUGAGGGCGACCCUGAUCAAGCAAUUCUGUGUGUACGAAGAAGGUUUUCGGAAUGUAAAGUGCUUUCAGAAGGGAAGAAGAAAGUGACGGUACCUGCAGAAGAAGCGACGGCUAAAUACGUG